RNAcentral lists this ribosomal RNA (311 nucleotides) under uncultured bacterium. Its description in RNAcentral is "bacterial SSU rRNA". It matches the Rfam family "Bacterial small subunit ribosomal RNA", at positions 767 to 1074 of the family's 1533-position model. The record is from RNAcentral.
AGCUAAUAGAUACCCGGGUAGUCCACGCCCUAAACGAUGUCUACUAGUUGUUGGUGGAGUAAAAUCCAUGAGUAAACGCAGCUAAACGCGUGAAGUAGACCGCCUGGGGAGUACGGUCGCAAGAUUAAAACUCAAAGGAAUUGACGGGGGCCCGCACAAGCGGUGGAUUAUGUGGAUUAAAUUCGAUGCAACGCGAAAAACCUUACCUGGCCUUGACAUGCCACUAAACGAAGCAGAGAUGCAUUAGGUGCCCGUAAAGGGAAAGUGGACACAGGUGCUGCAUGGCUGUCGUCAGCUCGUGUCGUGAGAUG